AUUGAACGCUGGCGGUAUGCUUAACACAUGCAAGUCGAACGGUAGCAGGCCUUCGGGCGCUGACGAGUGGCGGACGGGUGAGUAACGCGUAGGAAUCUGCCUUUUAGUGGGGGACAACUUAGGGAAACUUAAGCUAAUACCGCAUACGCCCUACGGGGGAAAGCGGGGGACCUUCGGGCCUCGCGCGAAAAGAUGAGCCUGCGUUGGAUUAGCUAGUUGGCGGGGUAAAGGCCCACCAAGGCGGCGAUCCAUAGCUGGUCUGAGAGGACGAUCAGCCACACUGGGACCGAGACACGGCCCAGACUCCUACGGGAGGCAGCAGUGGGGAAUUUUGGACAAUGGGCGAAAGCCUGAUCCAGCAAUGCCGCGUGCAGGAAGAAGGCCUUCGGGUUGUAAACUGCUUUUGUACGGAGCGAAAAGGUCUCCUCUAAUACAGGGGGCUCAUGACGGUACCGUAAGAAUAAGCACCGGCUAACUACGUGCCAGCAGCCGCCGUAA
RNAcentral lists this ribosomal RNA (498 nucleotides) under uncultured bacterium. RNAcentral's name for it is "partial 16S ribosomal RNA". It matches the Rfam family "Bacterial small subunit ribosomal RNA", at positions 30 to 523 of the family's 1533-position model. The record is from RNAcentral.